GGCCUGUAGAGAUUUCUCCUCCCAUCACCUCUACAAGCUACUCAGGACAAACAACACAGCUCUACAAUCUAGAUGCAGGCCUCUGCCCUGUGAACCAGAGCCUCUCCUGGGAGCUUGAAGUCCAGGCUCCUGGGUGCCUGUCAGUGGUCACCGACAGCACUUGCCUUGCUGCUCAUCUGAAGCCCUGGGUGCUCGUGGCAGGGUGACAACUGGGCUCCAUACUGGGGACAUUGCAGCAAAUCUAAAAACAAUCAUAAACUAAAAUUCAGUCUGUUUUUU
RNAcentral lists this long non-coding RNA (279 nucleotides) under Cavia porcellus (domestic guinea pig). RNAcentral's name for it is "lncRNA (ENSCPOG00000034736.1)". Lineage: Eukaryota; Metazoa; Chordata; Mammalia; Rodentia; Caviidae. The record is from RNAcentral.